Molecule: long non-coding RNA, 499 nt
Filed under: Salvia miltiorrhiza (redroot sage)
Lineage: Eukaryota; Viridiplantae; Streptophyta; Magnoliopsida; Lamiales; Lamiaceae
Description: long non-coding RNA (SMIL_LNC006080)
Source: RNAcentral
CCCCCCUGGCUCCGUCAGUGCUCUCCAGUAUCCUUAACGGAUCUUCCUUCUUCUUCUUCUCCGCCAUCUGCUUGAGGAAACCUUUGAGUGAAGCCAGGUCGCUCUUCAGCUGCUCCAACUCAUUCUCCGCCCCGAAGAUCAGAUCGGCGUACCCUAUCACCACCUCCUUCACUUGCUCCAGCAAGAAUGCCACUGCAGCCUCCCCCAUCUCAAUUCUCCAAGGGAGAGAGAGAGUGUGUGAGUGUGUGUGAGAGAGAGAGAGAGACUGGUUAUUGUAGUUGAAUUUCAAACUAUGGUCUUAUUGUGGGGCUGAGCAUUCGGGCAAUUUGGGUUGAAAACGAACCGUAGUGGAAAAAUCCGAACCCAAACCGCCCCUAAAUUUUUAAACCGAACCAAACCGUUUCAGUUGCUCAAACCGAACAGUAAAUUUUUAGUUUGGUUUGAUUCGAUUUGGCAUAAACCGUUUCAAUUUUUUUUUAAAGGAGAGAGAGAGAGUAUU